AUGCCUCAGACAUCACCUCGCCCUAGCACCUCCAACCCGAGAAGGAUUCAAUCCACAACAGAAUGGCGCGCCAGGAAGGAGAGGCACCGCUUGCCUAUUUUUAAGAAAAAGCAAGCAACCCAUUGUCAUGCUACCGCAAAGAGCGUCCUUGAGGUAUUUUAACCCAAAGAAUGCUCACCGAUAGUAGCUCUACUCGGAGAUUAUAUUCCAUGUUAGCUACCGAAGGCAUUCCCACAGUCCCACCCCCGACGGUCC
This 255-nucleotide long non-coding RNA is filed under the name Elaeis guineensis (African oil palm). Its description in RNAcentral is "long non-coding RNA (EGUI_LNC040340)". Lineage: Eukaryota; Viridiplantae; Streptophyta; Magnoliopsida; Arecales; Arecaceae. The record is from RNAcentral.